This 555-nucleotide ribosomal RNA is filed under the name uncultured bacterium. Its description in RNAcentral is "partial 16S ribosomal RNA". It matches the Rfam family "Bacterial small subunit ribosomal RNA", at positions 355 to 905 of the family's 1533-position model. The record is from RNAcentral.
UGGGGAAUUUUGGACAAUGGGCGAAAGCCUGAUCCAGCAAUGCCGCGUGUGUGAAGAAGGCCUUCGGGUUGUAAAGCACUUUUGUCCGGAAAGAAAUCCUUGGCUCUAAUACAGUCGGGGGAUGACGGUACCGGAAGAAUAAGCACCGGCUAACUACGUGCCAGCAGCCGCGGUAAUACGUAGGGUGCAAGCGUUAAUCGGAAUUACUGGGCGUAAAGCGUGCGCAGGCGGUUUGCUAAGACCGAUGUGAAAUCCCCGGGCUCAACCUGGGAACUGCAUUGGUGACUGGCAGGCUAGAGUAUGGCAGAGGGGGGUAGAAUUCCACGUGUAGCAGUGAAAUGCGUAGAGAUGUGGAGGAAUACCGAUGGCGAAGGCAGCCCCCUGGGCCAAUACUGACGCUCAUGCACGAAAGCGUGGGGAGCAAACAGGAUUAGAUACCCUGGUAGUCCACGCCCUAAACGAUGUCAACUAGUUGUUGGGGAUUCAUUCCUUAGUAACGUACUAACGCGUGAAGUUGACCGCCUGGGGAGUACGGUCGCAAGAUUAAAACUCAAA